Molecule: unclassified non-coding RNA, 353 nt
Filed under: soil metagenome
Description: partial contains 5.8S ribosomal RNA, internal transcribed spacer 2, and large subunit ribosomal RNA
Rfam family: 5.8S ribosomal RNA (bases 1-120)
Source: RNAcentral
GAUGAAGAACGCAGCGAAAUGCGAUAAGUAAUGUGAAUUGCAGAAUUCAGUGAAUCAUCGAAUCUUUGAACGCACAUUGCGCCCGCCAGUAUUCUGGCGGGCAUGCCUGUUCGUGCGUCAUUACAACCCUCAGGCCCCCGGGCCUGGCGUUGGGGAUCGGCGGAAGCCCCCUGCGGGCACAACGCCGUCCCCCAAAUACAGUGGCGGUCCCGCCGCAGCUUCCAUUGCGUAGUAGCUAACACCUCGCAACUGGAGAGCGGCGCGGCCACGCCGUAAAACACCCAACUUCUGAAUGUUGACCUCGAAUCAGGUAGGAAUACCCGCUGAACUUAAGCAUAUCAAUAAGCGGAGGA